UGCCAGCCGCCGCGGUAAUACGGAGGGUGCAAGCGUUAAUCGGAAUCACUGGGCGUAAAGCGCACGCAGGCGGUUUGUUAAGUCAGAUGUGAAAGCCCCGGGCUCAACCUGGGAACUGCAUUUGAUACUGGCAAACUAGAGUAUGGUAGAGAGAAGUAGAAUUCCACAUGUAGCGGUGAAAUGCGUAGAGAUGUGGAGGAAUAUCAGUGGCGAAGGCGACUUCUUGGACCAAUACCGACGCUCAGGUGCGAAAGCGUGGGGAGCAAACAGGAUUAGAUA
RNAcentral lists this ribosomal RNA (279 nucleotides) under uncultured bacterium. Its description in RNAcentral is "partial 16S ribosomal RNA". It matches the Rfam family "Bacterial small subunit ribosomal RNA", at positions 506 to 784 of the family's 1533-position model. The record is from RNAcentral.